RNAcentral lists this ribosomal RNA (468 nucleotides) under uncultured bacterium. Its description in RNAcentral is "partial 16S ribosomal RNA". It matches the Rfam family "Bacterial small subunit ribosomal RNA", at positions 28 to 507 of the family's 1533-position model. The record is from RNAcentral.
GACGAACGCUGGCGGCGUGCUUAACACAUGCAAGUCGAACGGAAAGGCCCUGCUUUUGUGGGGUGCUCGAGUGGCGAACGGGUGAGUAACACGUGAGUAACCUGCCCUUGACUUUGGGAUAACUUCAGGAAACUGGGGCUAAUACCGGAUAGGAGCUCCUGCUGCAUGGGGGGGGUUGGAAAGUUUCGGCGGUUGGGGAUGGACUCGCGGCUUAUCAGCUUGUUGGUGGGGUAGUGGCUUACCAAGGCUUUGACGGGUAGCCGGCCUGGGAGGGUGACCGGCCACAUUGGGACUGAGAGACGGCCCAGACUCCUACGGGAGGCAGCAGUGGGGAAUAUUGCACAAUGGGCGGAAGCCUGAUGCAGCAACGCCGCGUGCGGGAUGACGGCCUUCGGGUUGUAAACCGCUUUCGCCUGUGACGAAGCGUGAGUGACGGUAAUGGGUAAAGAAGCACCGGCUAACUACGUG